This is a long non-coding RNA of Bemisia tabaci, 422 nucleotides long. RefSeq lists it as uncharacterized. Lineage: Eukaryota; Metazoa; Arthropoda; Insecta; Hemiptera; Aleyrodidae. The record is from RefSeq and is a predicted model, not a curated record.
GUGCUACGAGCCUUUGUCUAUUGAUAGAUCUUGUCCGAUUCAACGAUACAGACCCGCUGCUCGGACCACCCGCUUCAUCACCUUCUACGUGCAUUGAAUUUUUCUUCUGUUCCUAAAAAAUUGAAUAUUACAUCGAGCAGGAGGCUUAGCGGAAAGUGCAUAUCACACAAUUGGAGACGCUUCAUACAAUUGUGCCAACUCCCUGUUGAGAUCCCUGUUGCUGUUUCAUGUAAUCAUGAAACAUUGAAUUCUACAGAAUGUAUGCGCUAUGUAAAAUGCUCCUCACCUUCAAAGACCAUUUUUUGAACCAUCCAAAAAUGCAACUAUGCCCCUCUGAUUCUCACCCUUUUAUUUAUUUUUAUUCACUUUAGUUCUAAAGAUUGUGAUCAAACUUUAAGUAUUAAAAUUUUGCAUUACAAGUU